RNAcentral lists this ribosomal RNA (346 nucleotides) under uncultured bacterium. RNAcentral's name for it is "partial 16S ribosomal RNA". It matches the Rfam family "Bacterial small subunit ribosomal RNA", at positions 338 to 681 of the family's 1533-position model. The record is from RNAcentral.
CCUACGGGUGGCAGCAGUGAGGAAUAUUGGUCAAUGGGCGCGAGCCUGAACCAGCCAAGUAGCGUGAAGGAUGACGGCCCUACGGGUUGUAAACUGCUUUUAUAAAGGAAUAAAGUGAGGCACGUGUGCCUUUUUGUAUGUACCUUAUGAAUAAGGAUCGGCUAACUCCGUGCCAGCAGCCGCGGUAAUACGGAGGAUCCGUGCGUUAUCCGGAUUUAUUGGGUUUAAAGGGAGCGUAGAUGGGUUGUUAAGUCAGUUGUGAAAGUUUGCGGCUCAACCGUACAAUUGCAAUUGAUACGUGCAUUCUUGAUUACACUUGAGGUAUGCGGACUUCGUUGUGUAUCGG